Molecule: long non-coding RNA, 685 nt
Organism: Quercus lobata
Lineage: Eukaryota; Viridiplantae; Streptophyta; Magnoliopsida; Fagales; Fagaceae
Exons: 4
Source: RefSeq, a predicted model, not a curated record
GAAAUUUUUUAAGGGUAAAAUAGUCUUUUUAUUGUUAUUUGGUGAGAUUUAAGCCAUUAGAGAAUUUAGGUAUUGCAUGGGAUAUGAAUGAAUUCCUAUUACUAUAAUAAUACAUUAGGGACAAAGAAAGAAAGAUUUUGCAGAGUAGUAGUUAGUAAUGGCAGAGGACAAAGAAGACAGAGAAGAAGGAGGGUUCCAUAAUCCUAAUCACAACAACAACAACAACAUCAGCAAGAAAGGAUCCGAAGUAAAGUCAUGCAAGGGAUAUCUCUACUACUCGUUUCUGCGAAGAUCCAAGAACCCCACUUGCGUUGGCAUCCCCAGAACCCUCCACCGAGGAACUUUUACAAGAAAUGUACUGAUAUUUAAGGUGCAUGACCAGUGCCCAGAAACACUUUUUGGGAAACUGAGUUGGAAGCUUCCAAAGAGGGCCGCAGUCAAUCACUUUCGAUUAUUCUUGUCUUGGUUACUCGGUGUUCCUGAACAAGAAGGACUCUUCAAGCGAUCAGCAGAUCAAACGAGCAGAAUUGCCAGUUUGUACUGGUUUUGAGGUUUUGUUGGAGUGGGCUCAGGCUCCUGCUCAUGUUAAUAAAGAUGAUGGUCGUGUUCUUCCCCAACCUCAACCUCAACCUGAACCUCGAACUGACAGACCAGCUCAUUCUACAGGAGAGGAGUACCUGAACAG